UAAAAAUGAUUGGUUACUACAUUGUGAUCUCUGCUAUAAUGACAAAAAUGACACAGGUAUUAUACUCAGUCAAAAAAAUUUUUUAAUGGAAUAUUUUUACGUUGUUACACUCAUUCAAACCCUGCUUGUGCUCGUUUCCACCAUGAGGCAGUUUUGUUGCAUUCACACUUUAAAUGCAGAUCUUCAGACUUACACAGUACGAAGUAAUGCAACAUUGCAUUCGUGUUGGAUUUUGAGCUUUUAAUAUAUCAGUACUAAAACAGUAGGUGAAAUAAUUAACUCACGCAUUAUACAUUUGAUUUAUUUAUUUUUUUAAAGUGCUGUGCUGACCCCUUAAUGCUGCCCCACUUUAGUGCGGAAAUCCUUCUUUUUUAUAGCAUGUAUCACCUUAACAUGCUACCUUUGAUAAUUAACGUCUCAUUGGGAUCAUAGUUUAAAAUUCUGUAUUUUUAUUAGAGGAAAAAAGUAUUAAUUGACAUUAAUGAGGCUGAAGGUCGAUGUUGAUUUCUUGCCUAGGCUGCCCUUGCUCAUUGCUGCCUUUUUGAAAACGGCCCUGAUCCAGGACAAUAUGUCUGGUUGUUGAAGGGCUGCCAGAAGUAGUUGUUAGUUACAGUUAGGGCGCGUCCCUCUUAGGAUAGGUUGUCCACUCUGAGGUCUGAUAUCGAAUGGUCCAUAAUUUCCAGCUUGUUCCCAGGAGAAGCUCUCCUUUGCUCUUUUCUCUCUGUGUCUCUCUUCCUCCUCUCCUUUCAGAAUCCUGUGAGAAACAGCAAGAGAUGUGGAUCGAAGCGGGAAGAGCUUCCGAACCUCACCGGACAUUUAGCGUCUUUGCUCUGGUAACUGGCAGUGAGACAGAGUUUUGAGCUCCAAGCGCAAACAGUUUUGGCCAGAGAGAGAAAUUAUGCAAACACACACUGGCGAUUAAGUAACAGAUUUUCCCUCUUGGGUUUUUCCACAUGGAGACUACCUGACAUGCUGCUGAAACCAUGAUGGAGGGAGGAGGUUAUAGGCCAGUGGGCCCUUCCAGCCCCUUUUCUCGAUGCAUGUUAUAUAGCAGGUGAGAAACAUUAACGGAGGCAGCAGCAGCUGCAGACCUCUGCUCCACACAUGUGGGCCAGGAUAUGAGCUAGCUUGAGCUCUCCCACUCUCAACUUUAGUGAGCAAGGUUAUCGCUCAGAACCACAGGAAACAGUGCUGCCAAACUGGAAACAGCAUAGCUCUGUUUAAUUUGUUUCAAUACGUUACUUUGAACACUGAUCUUAAUAGUAUAUAGGUUUGCCAGAACUUGAUCUAAAAUGAUUCUAUUUGCUUAUUUGUCAUGUGACUGGCCACACCCACCCUAGCUUCUAAAAGCUAUGUGAUAUUUGUGAAUAUAAUAAUGUUUCAGAGUGUUUUUGAGGUUAGCGUGUUUGCUAUACAAUGUUCAUUAUGAAUAUACCAUUUAAGUUAUUUACUGGUUGCAUUUGAAUAUGGAAAUGUCUUGGCUGCGCAAUUUGCUUGUUGGGUCAUUUGAAUUACCCCCCUCAGCCCGGGCAAUGAACCCGGAGACCCAGUUGUCACAUUGUGUUUUGAGCUCACAGACUCUGGCCGCGGUGGUGAGGUGUCCCAGAGGGGAGUGGCAUGUUUCUGUGAAUCAUAACCGCUGUUCUGUGUUCAGUGAGCCGUGUCAAAGCGGAUUACCUGCAUGAACGGGGACCUGAAAGGACUUUGUUUUUAAAGACUGUCCUUUGGGGUGAGGUAGUAGGUUGUAUAGUUUUAGGGUCGUACCCUUCCUGUCAGAUAACUAUACAACUUACUGUCUUUCCUGAAGUGGCUGUAAUGUCGUCAGAUGCCUUUGGUGGAGUGCACGGAACCAGAUCGACGCACUACUUGCUAACGGCUCAGUAGCCCGAGUUUGAUAGCAGAAAGUUAUUAAGGACUGUAGCCGCUUUGUGCAAGUCGUUGAUUGCCAAUAAAGUACAACUGUGUUUUCAUUGUAAGUGUUCAUUCUUUUUGUGUAAAACACAACAACAGCAAAAAUGUCCUCCUCAUAUCUCAGCAGACACUUUGCGCUGCAUAAUAGUUUCCAAAGUUUCCUCCUGUUUAGCCGCCAGUCUCUUUGUUUAUUUUCUUUGCACUUGUAAAAAUCUAAAAGAAAUCAUCAAAUAUUUGGGGGGUUUUAGUAAUUAAAACUCGACAAAAAUCUCAGUGUUUGCUUUUCAUGUAGGUAUGGUUUUUGUCAAAUUCUGUAUAUUCAUUUACAGAUUGUAUAUGUCAUCAUAACACUUUUAUCAUUACCAAAGAUUUUAUCCAGCCUGUAGGGCCUUUACUGAUGUUCGUACGGGGUGAGGUAGUAGGUUGUGUGGUUUCAGGGUAGUGAUUUUGCCCAAUCAGGAGAUAACUAUACAACCUACUGCCUUCCCUGAAGGGCAGCAAUACUUCACCAUUCACACACAUCAGGAAGCAUUUUGUUCAUAUCAUUAAAAAAAAAAACUCCAUAUUGACAAACUAAACCACAUGAAUCAUCUGACUCUAAGAAAUUUCAUACAAAGAUGUCAAAUCAGACGAUAGCAGCGGAAGGAUCCAGCAGGUAAAGUCUGUGCAGUAAGGAAAAUGUCUUUGACUUAGAUUUUUUUUCUUUUUUUGCUUCAAAAUUAAUAAUAAAAAAUAAGGUGAUUGA
Long non-coding RNA from Neolamprologus brichardi, 2656 nucleotides. RefSeq lists it as uncharacterized. The record is from RefSeq and is a predicted model, not a curated record. NCBI's taxonomy places the organism in Eukaryota, Metazoa, Chordata, Actinopteri, Cichliformes, Cichlidae.